GAGUUUGAUCAUGGCUCAGAUUGAACGCUGGCGGGAUGCUUUGCACAUGCAAGUCGAACGGCAGCACGACUUCGGUCUGGUGGCGAGUGAAGAACGUGAGUAAUGUAUCGGAACGUGCCUAGUAGCGGGGGAUAACUAUGCGAAAAGGUAGCUAAUACUGCAUACGGCCUCUUCUCGGGGAAAGCGGGGACCUUCGGGCCUCGCACUAUUAGAGCGGCCGAUAUCGAUUAGCUAGUUGGUGGGGUAACGGCUCUGUUAUCGAUCCGUAGUUGGUUUGAGAGGACGACCAGCCACACUGGGAUCGAGACACGCCCAGACUCCUACGGAGGCAGCAGUGGGGCUUUGGACAAUGGGGAAAAUCCUGAUCCGCUCAUCCCGCGUGUGAUGAAGGCCUUCAGUUGUAAAGCACUUUUGGCAGGAAGAAACGGCACGGUACGAUUUUUGUGCAACUGAGUUGCACUGCAGAAUAAGCACCGGCUGCGCCCACGCCAGCAGCCGCGGUAAUACGUAGGUGCGUUAAUCGAAUUACUGGGCUAAAGCGUGCGCAGGCGGUUCGGAAAGAAAAAAGAUGAACCCCAGAGCUUAACUUCAAAUGUAUUUAAUCACCGAGCUAGAGUGUGUCAGAGGGAGGCGUGGAAUCGCGUGUAGCAGUGAACGCGUAGAUAAGGUGGAGGAACACCGAUGGCGAAGGGGUAGCCUCCUUGGGAUAACACUGACGCUCAUGCACGAAAGCGUGGUGGAGCAAAACAGGAUUAGAUACCCCGGUAGUCCACGCCCUAAACGAUGUCAACUAGCUGUUGGGGCCUUCGGCCUCGGUAGCGCAGCUAACGCGUGAAGUUGACCGCCUGGGGAGUACGGUCGUAAGAUUAAAACUCAAAGGAAUUGACGGGGACCCGCACAAGCGGUGGAUGAUGUGGAUUAAUUCGAUGCAACGCGAAAAACCUUACCUACCCUUGACAUGACCUGAAUCCCGAAGAGAUUUGGGAGUGCUCGCAAGAGAACCGGAACACAGGUGCUGCAUGGCUGCGUCGUCAGCUCGUGUGGGUCGAGAGAUGUUGGGUUAAGUCCCGCAACGAGCGCAACCCUUGUCAUUAGUUGCUACGAAAGGGCACUCCCAUCGAGACUGCCGGUGACAACCCCGGGAGGAAGGUGGGGAUGACGUCAAGUCCUCAUGGCCCUUAUGGGUAGGGCUUCACACGUCAUACAAUGGUCGGGACAGAGGGUCGCUAACUCCGCGAGGGGGAGCCAAUCCCAGAAACCCGAUCGUAGUCCGGAUCGCAGUCUGCAACUCGAUCGCGUAGUCGGAAUCGCCAGUAAUCGCGGAUCAGCAUGUCGCGGUGAAUACGUUCCGGGUUCCUGUACAUAAUUGCCCGUCACAAUAUGGAGGGUUUUACCAGGCGUUAGCCUAACCGCAAGGAGGGCGAUUACCACGGUAGAUUCAUGACUGGGGUGAAGUCGUAACAAGGUAACCGCCGAUCACCUUUUGAUGCUCCCA
RNAcentral lists this ribosomal RNA (1495 nucleotides) under uncultured Bordetella sp. RNAcentral's name for it is "partial 16S-23S ribosomal RNA intergenic spacer". It matches the Rfam family "Bacterial small subunit ribosomal RNA". The record is from RNAcentral. Lineage: Bacteria; Pseudomonadati; Pseudomonadota; Betaproteobacteria; Burkholderiales; Alcaligenaceae.